UCUGUACCUUUCUUGUUUUUCCUUUUUCUUUCUUUUCCUUCUUUUCCUUUUUCAUUUUCUU
Molecule: non-coding RNA, 61 nt
Filed under: Heterosigma akashiwo
Lineage: Eukaryota; Raphidophyceae; Chattonellales; Chattonellaceae
Source: RNAcentral